This 407-nucleotide unclassified non-coding RNA is filed under the name uncultured Piloderma. RNAcentral's name for it is "sequence contains ITS2". The stretch from base 1 to 155 matches the Rfam family "5.8S ribosomal RNA". Lineage: Eukaryota; Fungi; Basidiomycota; Agaricomycetes; Atheliales; Atheliaceae. The record is from RNAcentral.
AACUUUCAAAAACGGAUCACUUGGCUCUCGCAUCGAUGAAGAACGCAGCGAAAUGCGAUAAGUAAUGUGAAUUGCAGAUUUUCAGUGAAUCAUCGAAUCUUUGAACGCACCUUGCGCUCCUUGGUAUUCCGAGGAGCAUGCCUGUUUGAGUGUCAUUAAAUUCUCAACUCCGAUUCGAUUUGUUUCGACCUCGGAGCUUGGACUUUGGAGCGUGCUGGCGUCGGUCGGCUCCUCUCAAAUGCAUCAGCGGAAUCUAACGUUUCGGACGUCAGUGUGAUAAUCACGUUGCGCUGUCGACCGAUCCUGAAAGCCCGCUCAUAAUGGUCUUCGGACAACUUCAUAUCAAAUUUGACCUCAAAUCAGGUAGGACUACCCGCUGAACUUAAGCAUAUCAAUAAGCGGAGGCU